UACGUAGGGGGCAAGCGUUGUCCGGAAUUAUUGGGCGUAAAGAGCGCGUAGGCGGUCCGGUAAGUCGGCUGUGAAAGUCAAGGGCUCAACCCUUGAAAGCCGGCCGAUACUGUCGGACUAGAGUCCGGAAGAGGCGAGUGGAAUUCCCGGUGUAGCGGUGAAAUGCGCAGAUAUCGGGAGGAACACCAAUGGCGAAGGCAGCUUGCUGGGACGGUACUGACGCUAAGGCGCGAAAGCGUGGGGAGCGAACAGG
This 253-nucleotide ribosomal RNA is filed under the name uncultured bacterium. RNAcentral describes it as "partial 16S ribosomal RNA". It matches the Rfam family "Bacterial small subunit ribosomal RNA", at positions 524 to 776 of the family's 1533-position model. The record is from RNAcentral.